AGUGAACGCUGGCGGUAGGCCUAACACAUGCAAGUCGAACGGCAGCACAGGAGAGCUUGCUCUCUGGGUGGCGAGUGGCGGACGGGUGAGGAAUACAUCGGAAUCUACUUUUUCGUGGGGGAUAACGUAGGGAAACUUACGCUAAUACCGCAUACGACCUACGGGUGAAAGCAGGGGAUCUUCGGACCUUGCGCGAUUGAAUGAGCCGAUGUCGGAUUAGCUAGUUGGCGGGGUAAAGGCCCACCAAGGCGAAGAUCCGUAGCUGGUCUGAGAGGAAGAUCAGCCACACUGGAACGGAGACACGGUCCAGACUCCUACGGGAGGCAGCAGUGGGGAAUAUUGGACAAUGGGCGCAAGCCUGAUCCAGCCAUACCGCGUGGGUGAAGAAGGCCUUCGGGUUGUAAAGCCCUUUUGUUGGGAAAGAAAUCCAGCUGGUUAAUACCCGGUUGAGAUGACGGUACCCAAAGAAUAAGCACCGGCUAACUUCGUGCCAGCAGCCGCCGUAA
RNAcentral lists this ribosomal RNA (506 nucleotides) under uncultured bacterium. RNAcentral's name for it is "partial 16S ribosomal RNA". It matches the Rfam family "Bacterial small subunit ribosomal RNA", at positions 29 to 523 of the family's 1533-position model. The record is from RNAcentral.